GACGAACGCUGGCGGCGUGCUUAACACAUGCAAGUCGAACGGAAAGGCCCUGCUUUUGUGGGGUGCUCGAGUGGCGAACGGGUGAGUAACACGUGAGUAACCUGCCCUUGACUUUGGUAUAACUUCAGGAAACUGGGGCUAAUACCGGAUAGGAGCUCCUGCUGCAUGGUGGGGGUUGGAAAGUUUCGGCGGUUGGGGAUGGACUCGCGGCUUAUCAGCUUGUUGGUGGGGUAGUGGCUUACCAAGGCUUUGACGGGUAGCCGGCCUGAGAGGGUGACCGGCCACAUUGGGACUGAGAUACGGCCCAGACUCCUACGGGAGGAAGCAGUGGGGAAUAUUGAACAAUGGGAGGAAGCCUGAUGCAGCAACGCCGCGUGCGGGAUGACGGCCUUCGGGUUGUAAACCGCUUUCGCCUGUGACGAAGCGUGAGUGACGGUAAUGGGUAAAGAAGCACCGGCUAACUACGUG
Molecule: ribosomal RNA, 468 nt
Filed under: uncultured bacterium
Lineage: Bacteria
Description: partial 16S ribosomal RNA
Rfam family: Bacterial small subunit ribosomal RNA
Source: RNAcentral